RNAcentral lists this ribosomal RNA (229 nucleotides) under uncultured bacterium. Its description in RNAcentral is "partial 16S ribosomal RNA". It matches the Rfam family "Bacterial small subunit ribosomal RNA", at positions 568 to 796 of the family's 1533-position model. The record is from RNAcentral.
CGUGUAGGCGGCCGUGUAUGUCGGGUGUGAAAUCCCUCGACUCAAUCGAGGAACUGCAUUCGAAACUACAUGGCUAGAGUUCAGAAGGGGAGAGCGGAAUUCCUGGUGGAGCGGUGAAAUGCGUAGAGAUCAGGAGGAACACCGGUGGCGAAGGCGGCUCUCUAGUCUGCAACUGACGCUGAGGCGCGAAAGCCAGGGGAGCGAACAGGAUUAGAUACCCUGGUAGUCC